ACGUAUGGUGCAAGCGUUAUCCGGAUUUACUGGGUGUAAAGGGUGCGUAGGUGGCAAGGCAAGUCUGAAGUGAAAAUCCGGGGCUCAACCCCGGAACUGCUUUGGAAACUGUUUAGCUAGAGUACAGGAGAGGUAAGUGGAAUUCCUAGUGUAGCGGUGAAAUGCGUAGAUAUUAGGAGGAACACCAGUGGCGAAGGCGACUUACUGGACUGGUACUGACACUGAGGCACGAAAGCGUGGGGAGCAAACAG
RNAcentral lists this ribosomal RNA (251 nucleotides) under uncultured bacterium. RNAcentral describes it as "partial 16S ribosomal RNA". It matches the Rfam family "Bacterial small subunit ribosomal RNA", at positions 525 to 775 of the family's 1533-position model. The record is from RNAcentral.